GCGAACAGGAUUAGAUACCCUGGUAGUCCACGCCGUAAACGGUGGAUGCUGGAUGUGGGGACCAUUCCACGGUCUCCGUGUCGGAGCCAACGCGUUAAGCAUCCCGCCUGGGGAGUACGGCCGCAAGGCUAAAACUCAAAGAAAUUGACGGGGGCCCGCACAAGCGGCGGAGCAUGCGGAUUAAUUCGAUGCAACGCGAAGAACCUUACCUGGGCUUGACAUGUUCCCGACAGCCGUAGAGAUACGGCCUCCCUUCGGGGCGGGUUCACAGGUGGUGCAUGGUCGUCGUCAGCUCGUGUCGUGAGAUGUUGGGUUAAGUCCCGCAACGAGCGCAACCCUCGCCCUGUGUUGCCAGCACGUCGUGGUGGGAACUCACGGGGGACCGCCGGGGUCAACUCGGAGGAAGGUGGGGAUGACGUCAGAUCAUCAUGCCCCUUACGUCCAGGGCUUCACGCAUGCUACAAUGGCCGGUACAACGGGAUGCGACACUGUGAGGUGGAGCGGAUCCCUUAAAACCGGUCUCAGUUCGGAUUGGAGUCUGCAACCCGACUCCAUGAAGGCGGAGUCGCUAGUAAUCGCGGAUCAGCAACGCCGCGGUGAAUGCGUUCCCGGGCCUUGUACACACCGCCCGUCAAGUCAUGAAAGUGGGUAGCACCCGAAGCCGGUGGCCCAACCUUUUGGGGGGAGCCGUCUAAGGUGAGACUCGUGAUUGGGACUAAGUCGUAACAAGGUAGCCGUACCGGAAGGUGCGGCUG
Molecule: ribosomal RNA, 755 nt
Filed under: human gut metagenome
Description: bacterial SSU rRNA
Rfam family: Bacterial small subunit ribosomal RNA
Source: RNAcentral